GCCGAGUUGGUGGAGAAAGCUUUGUUGUUGCAGACCCUUGAGGAAACUGUCGGAAAACACAAUAUCACCAUUUUCGCUCCUAAAAAUGAAGCUCUUGAGCGGGAUCUCGACCCUGAGUUCAAGCGGUUUUUGCUUGAACCUGGUAAUCUCAAGUCCCUCCAAACUCUCUUGCUUUACCACAUUGUGCCUGCUAGGAUCGAUCGUCAUUCAUGGCCCAAAUCGACUUCGGCGUUAACCCAUCAUUUUACUUUAUCAAAUGAACGAGUUGAACUCUCCGGCGACGAUUCCUCAGGUGAAAAGUUCAUUGGUUCGGCCAAAGUAAUUUCCUCCAACGCUGUUGACCGUCCCGAUGGUGUCAUCCACGGCAUCGAACAACUAUUGAUCCCUCGAUCGGUGCAACAAGAUUUCAACAAUCGUAGAAGCCUCCGCUCAAUCUCCGCCGUCAAACCAGAAGGAGCUCCGGAAGUUGACCCCAGAACCCACCGCUUGAAAAAACCAGCACCCCCGGUCAAGCCCGGAGCUCCACCCGUCCUCCCAAUCUACGACGCAAUGGCUCCAGGCCCAUCGCUAGCUCCGGCACCAGCUCCCGGACCCGGCGGACCUCACCAUCAUUUCAACGGAAUGAGGCAAGUCAAAGAUUUCAUCCAAACUCUGAUACAAUACGGAGGGUACAAUGAAAUGGCGGACAUUUUAG
This 694-nucleotide long non-coding RNA is filed under the name Gossypium barbadense (sea-island cotton). RNAcentral describes it as "long non-coding RNA (GBAR_LNC009611)". Lineage: Eukaryota; Viridiplantae; Streptophyta; Magnoliopsida; Malvales; Malvaceae. The record is from RNAcentral.